GACGAACGCUGGCGGCGUGCUUAACACAUGCAAGUCGAACGGAAAGGCCCGCUCGUGUGGUACUCGAGUGGCGAACGGGUGGGUAACACGUGAGUAACCUACCCUUGCCUUUGGGAUAACUUCAGAAAACCGGGGCUAAUCCCGGAUCGGAGCUCCUGCUGCAUGGGGGGGGGCGGAAAGUUUCGUCGGUUGGGGAUGGAAUGGCGGCGUAUCAGCUUGUUGGUGGGGUAGUGGCUCACCAAGGCGUUGACGGGUAGCCGGCCUGAGAGGGGAACCGGCCACACUGGAACUGAGAUACGGCCCAGACUCCUACGGGAGGCAGCGGUGGGGAGUGUUACACAAUGGGCGGGGGCCAGAUCCGACAACGCCGCGUGGGGGAUGACGGCCUUCGGGUUGUGAACCGCUUUCGCCUUAGACGAGACGUUAGUGACGGUAAUGGGUGAAGAAGCACCGGCUAACUACGUG
RNAcentral lists this ribosomal RNA (465 nucleotides) under uncultured bacterium. Its description in RNAcentral is "partial 16S ribosomal RNA". It matches the Rfam family "Bacterial small subunit ribosomal RNA", at positions 28 to 507 of the family's 1533-position model. The record is from RNAcentral.